This 1444-nucleotide ribosomal RNA is filed under the name uncultured organism. RNAcentral's name for it is "SSU rRNA". It matches the Rfam family "Bacterial small subunit ribosomal RNA". The record is from RNAcentral.
GCUUAACACAUGCAAGUCGAGGGGCAGCAUGGUCUUAGCUUGCUAAGGCCGAUGGCGACCGGCGCACGGGUGAGUAACACGUAUCCAACCUGCCGUCUACUCUUGGACAGCCUUCUGAAAGGAAGAUUAAUACAAGAUGGCAUCAUGAGUCCGCAUGUUCACAUGAUUAAAGGUAUUCCGGUAGACGAUGGGGAUGCGUUCCAUUAGAUAGUAGGCGGGGUAACGGCCCACCUAGUCUUCGAUGGAUAGGGGUUCUGAGAGGAAGGUCCCCCACAUUGGAACUGAGACACGGUCCAAACUCCUACGGGAGGCAGCAGUGAGGAAUAUUGGUCAAUGGGCGAGAGCCUGAACCAGCCAAGUAGCGUGAAGGAUGACUGCCCUAUGGGUUGUAAACUUCUUUUAUAAAGGAAUAAAGUCGGGUAUGGAUACCCGUUUGCAUGUACUUUAUGAAUAAGGAUCGGCUAACUCCGUGCCAGCAGCCGCGGUAAUACGGAGGAUCCGAGCGUUAUCCGGAUUUAUUGGGUUUAAAGGGAGCGUAGAUGGAUGUUUAAGUCAGUUGUGAAAGUUUGCGGCUCAACCGUAAAAUUGCAGUUGAUACUGGAUAUCUUGAGUGCAGUUGAGGCAGGCGGAAUUCGUGGUGUAGCGGUGAAAUGCUUAGAUAUCACGAAGAACUCCGAUUGCGAAGGCAGCCUGCUAAGCUGCAACUGACAUUGAGGCUCGAAAGUGUGGGUAUCAAACAGGAUUAGAUACCCUGGUAGUCCACACGGUAAACGAUGAAUACUCGCUGUUUGCGAUAUACAGCAAGCGGCCAAGCGAAAGCGUUAAGUAUUCCACCUGGGGAGUACGCCGGCAACGGUGAAACUCAAAGGAAUUGACGGGGGCCCGCACAAGCGGAGGAACAUGUGGUUUAAUUCGAUGAUACGCGAGGAACCUUACCCGGGCUUAAAUUGCAGAUGAAUUACGGUGAAAGCCGUAAGCCGCAAGGCAUCUGUGAAGGUGCUGCAUGGUUGUCGUCAGCUCGUGCCGUGAGGUGUCGGCUUAAGUGCCAUAACGAGCGCAACCCUUGUUGUCAGUUACUAACAGGUUCCGCUGAGGACUCUGACAAGACUGCCAUCGUAAGAUGUGAGGAAGGUGGGGAUGACGUCAAAUCAGCACGGCCCUUACGUCCGGGGCUACACACGUGUUACAAUGGGGGGUACAGAGGGCCGCUACCACGCGAGUGGAUGCCAAUCCCCAAAACCUCUCUCAGUUCGGACUGGAGUCUGCAACCCGACUCCACGAAGCUGGAUUCGCUAGUAAUCGCGCAUCAGCCACGGCGCGGUGAAUACGUUCCCGGGCCUUGUACACACCGCCCGUCAAGCCAUGGGAGCCGGGGGUACCUGAAGUGCGUAACCGCGAGGAGCGCCCUAGGGUAAAACUGGUGACUGGGGCUAAGUCAUAACAA